GAUGAACGCUGACAGAAUGCUUAACACAUGCAAGUCGAUUCGAUUUACCUUCGGGUAUUGAGGAUGGCGGACGGGUGAGUAACGCGUAAGGAACUUGCCUCUUGGUCUGGGACAACUGUUGGAAACGACAGCUAAUACCAGAUAUUAUGAGAUUCUCGCAUGAGAAACUUAUGAAAGCUAUAUGCGCCAAGAGAGAGCCUUGCGUUCCAUUAGCUAGUUGGUGGGGUAACGGCCCACCAAGGCGACGAUGGAUAGCCGGCCUGAGAGGGUGAACGGCCACAAGGGGACUGAGACACGGCCCUUACUCCUACGGGAGGCAGCAGUGGGGAAUAUUGGACAAUGGGCCACAAGCCUGAUCCAGCAAUUCUGUGUGCACGAUGAAGGUCUUCGGAUUGUAAAGUGCUUUCAGUUGGGAAGAAGAAAGUGACGGUACCAACAGAAGAAGCGACGGCUAAAUACGUGCCAGCAGCCGCGGUAAUACGUAUGUCGCAAGCGUUAUCCGGAUUUAUUGGGCGUAAAGCGCGUCUAGGCGGAAAAAUAAGUCUGAUGUUAAAAUGCGGGGCUCAACUCCGUAUUGCGUUGGAAACUGUUUUUCUAGAGUACUGGAGAGGUGGGCGGAACUACAAGUGUAGAGGUGAAAUUCGUAGAUAUUUGUAGGAAUGCCGAUGGAGAAGUCAGCUCACUGGACAGAUACUGACGCUAAAGCGCGAAAGCNUGGGGAGCAAACAGGAUUAGAUACCCUGG
This 744-nucleotide ribosomal RNA is filed under the name uncultured prokaryote. RNAcentral's name for it is "bacterial SSU rRNA". It matches the Rfam family "Bacterial small subunit ribosomal RNA", at positions 28 to 790 of the family's 1533-position model. The record is from RNAcentral.